Molecule: non-coding RNA, 33 nt
Filed under: Trypanosoma brucei brucei
Lineage: Eukaryota; Euglenozoa; Kinetoplastea; Trypanosomatida; Trypanosomatidae
Source: RNAcentral
ACGUAAUAGAACAUAGAGAUUAAGUAAAUGAUU